CCUACGGGUGGCAGCAGUGGGGAAUAUUGGUCAAUGGGCGCAAGCCUGACCCAGCAACGCCGCGUGAAGGAAGAAGGCGUUCGGGUUGUAAACUUCCUUUUUCAGGGAAGCGUAGAAGACGUUACCUGACGAAUAAGCCACGGCUAACUACGUACCAGCAGCCGCGGGAAUACGUAGGUGGCAAGCGUUGUCCGGAUUUACUGGGUGUAAAGGGCGUGUAGCGGGUUUGACAAGUCAGAUGUGAAAUCCUGCGGCUUAACCGCAGAACUGCAUUUGAAACUGUUGAUCUUGAGUACUGGAGAGGCAGACGGAAUGCGGAGUGUAGCGGUGAAAUGCGUAGAUAUUAGGCGGAACACCAGUGGCGAAGGCGGUCUGCUGGACAGCAACUGACGGUGAGGCGCGAAAGCGUGGGGAGCGAACAGGAUUAGAUACCCUUGUAGUC
Molecule: ribosomal RNA, 442 nt
Filed under: uncultured bacterium
Lineage: Bacteria
Description: partial 16S ribosomal RNA
Rfam family: Bacterial small subunit ribosomal RNA
Source: RNAcentral